Molecule: long non-coding RNA, 1049 nt
Filed under: Gouania willdenowi (blunt-snouted clingfish)
Lineage: Eukaryota; Metazoa; Chordata; Actinopteri; Blenniiformes; Gobiesocidae
Description: lncRNA (ENSGWIG00000005591.1)
Source: RNAcentral
GAAUGUUUUAAAGGGAUAAACAGCUGCAUUAUAAAGACUGCAUAGUCUUCAUAAUGCAACCUUCUGCCAAUGCCAUAGUUGUCAGCACACAGAGCUAAAUGCAGCACACCUGGUCCUUUGCAUGUUUGUGUGACUCCAUGGUUGUGUGAGCGGUGCGUCUGUGAGCUAUGAAUGGGUAGAGAGGGGUGUUCUCUCCCAGACACCAUAGCAGCAGUGAGAUGAGGAGUGCCAUCUACUCUGCUGCACAUUUGCUGCACUAGCAGAGGAGGAAGACGAAGGGGGAAAAAGGGAGGAAGAAGUUGCACAGUCGGUGUUUGAACAAGCACAAGGUGAUCUCCAUCUAAAGUGAAUCCUCUGAGGCAAUGGAACAAAAGACCAGCGAGUCUCCCACCUCCACCUCUCCCCAGAGGCAGUUGAAGAACAGGUCCAAAUCUAUAGAGGAGACACAGCAUUCAAAGAGGGUGAGCAGGUCUUCAUCAGACAUCCUAUAGAGAACAUAUUUUUUCCUAUUUGUCCCAACCUAUUUGGCUGCUUGUGCUGUUUUAUCCGACAGACCUUUGCGUCCCAAAAGUCACUCCCUGGGAGGCCUGAACUGGAGAGAGUGAAGGUGAGCUGUGUGCACAGGGAUGUUUGAAGAUAGAAAAUAAUAACCAUAAUUAUGUCAUGCUUCUGGUGUCCCUGGAGGUUCUAUUAUAGUUAGAAAAAUCAAGCUUUUCUUCUCUGUGUGUUCCAGGAGAUUCCUGAUGAGACACCCACGGCCUCCACUGAAGAGCUGAAGUGAACAAUCAUUGUCCUGUCAUCAUGAAGAUCAACACAUGUACAUAUGAAACAAAUAAUGUGGAUAUUGGUUUCAUUAUAGAACAUUAAUAGCAAAUAAGGUUUGAAAAACACAAGACACCGCAUUGAUUUUAAACGCACAUGCACACACAGACACACACACAUCCAUUAGUGGGGAUGAAGCUUUCUCAUUGUGCUGUUAGUUACGUGACGAUACCUGAUGAAUGUCUACUGACAAUAAAGCAAUGUCAUUAAGUGAAUUGUUCUUUAUU